UGGGGAAUAUUGCACAAUGGAGGGAACUCUGAUGCAGCGACGCCGCGUGAACGAAGAAGGCUUUCGAGUCGUAAAGUUCUUUUAUAUGGGAAGAUAAUGACGGUACCAUAAGAAAAAGCCCCGGCUAACUACGUGCCAGCAGCCGCGGUAAUACGUAGGGGGCUAGCGUUGUCCGGAAUCACUGGGCGUAAAGGGUUCGCAGGCGGAAAUGCAAGUCAGGUGUAAAAGGCAGUAGCUUAACUACUGUAAGCAUUUGAAACUGCAUAUCUUGAGAAGAGUAGAGGUAAGUGGAAUUUUUAGUGUAGCGGUGAAAUGCGUAGAUAUUAAAAAGAAUACCGGUGGCGAAGGCGACUUACUGGGCUCAUUCUGACGCUGAUGAACGAAAGCGUGGGUAGCAAACAGG
This 403-nucleotide ribosomal RNA is filed under the name Verrucomicrobiota bacterium. RNAcentral's name for it is "Verrucomicrobia bacterium partial 16S ribosomal RNA". It matches the Rfam family "Bacterial small subunit ribosomal RNA", at positions 355 to 776 of the family's 1533-position model. Lineage: Bacteria; Pseudomonadati; Verrucomicrobiota. The record is from RNAcentral.